GACGUAGGGGGCGAGCGUUGUCCGGAUUUACUGGGCGUAAAGCGCACGUAGGCGGAUCGAUCAGUCAGGGGUGAAAUCCCAGAGCUCAACUCUGGAACUGCCUUUGAUACUGUCGAUCUGGAGCAUGGAAGAGGUGAGUGGAAUUCCGAGUGUAGAGGUGAAAUUCGUAGAUAUUCGGAGGAACACCAGUGGCGAAGGCGGCUCACUGGUCCAUUACUGACGCUGAGGUGCGAAAGCGUGGGGAGCAAACAGG
RNAcentral lists this ribosomal RNA (253 nucleotides) under uncultured bacterium. RNAcentral's name for it is "partial 16S ribosomal RNA". It matches the Rfam family "Bacterial small subunit ribosomal RNA", at positions 524 to 776 of the family's 1533-position model. The record is from RNAcentral.